CAAAACAAGACGUUGUUAAGACGGCCAUCUAAACACGCAUUUUGUGUCGCUGGUCGGCAACGAAAUACAAAUAAAGAAACGGGAGCAAGAGUCUUCCCCGGGAUACAUACCGCUUGUGCCAAAUGCUAAAGUCAAGAAAGGAAAAUUUGGUUUAUUUGGUCACAAACGAAGCAAGUCGGAAACGGAAGCCGAAGGUUUCAUUUGUCCGCUAGAUCUAGCUCUACCCUUUGAUAAACUCAAAAUAAGUGCCUUACAAUAUCAGGGGAAAGAGCAAGAUGCCAAGGCAGCUAAAGAAAUCGGUGCAUACUCUAAAGAAAUUUCAACUCUAACAACUCUGGUAGAAGACAUGGACACAGGAGAAUCUGUUUGAUUUUAGAAACAAAACAAAAAUAAUCAACUUGGAAAAGAAAGUUUCUUUGACAGUGUUCCAUCAUCCAAUGUAUGAGACCUGGUCAACAAUGUGGAACUUGAGCUCAUACCUACAAAAUUUAUAAUCAAACAAACCAAAAAAGAAUUAUGUAAAGUUCGAUUAGCGAAAUAGAACUAUGUGAUUAGUGUACAGAAACAGAAAUAAAGCACACCAAUAUUAUGAAAAUUGAAGAAAAUAUGUUUGAACUAGUUUACCAGUAAAUCAGGGAGAUGUGUAUUUUUAUGGUUGACUUUUUUUCUUUUUUUUCACAGAAAAAUUACAAAGUGAUCUUUUGUGACUGUAUAUGCAUAACAUAGACUUGUGUGUCACUUUAGAAAAAAUAAUCACUUAUUUUUAAGUGAAACAUAUUUUUGCUUAAGUAUUCAAAAAGAUAAGCAAUUGAAUUGAGUAUCUAUGCAUUUAUUAGUUUUAGAGGGAAAGUAACUUCCAAUUUUCCUUUAUAGUUACUUGGAUUCUUGGGCAAGGUUUAUUGUACAGGGAUUUGUGUCCAUGAUUUAUCCCAACUUGUGUAAAACAAGGCAUGGCUUAUGCCACCAAUAUAACUUGAGGCACCAGGCUGCACAUCCUUGAGUUUGACCAACCAUUUAAUUAUUGCUGGCAGUGUAAAAACACAAAUCUUGACAUAAGAUCCUUAAAAUUAGAUAAAGAACAAUUUCAUUUGAAAUUGAAAUUCUAAACAAGUCUGUUUACAUAGUGUUGGCAGAGUAUGGGUUAACUAUGAACACGAUCAGGUCUUGGUGAUAUAUCUAAUUCAUGUGAUUCACGAGUCUGUUUAUUCAGGGAAAGGAAUUGGGAGUGAUGGCCAAGUGGUUAAAGCAUUUGCCUCCAACCCAGGGAUCAUGGGUUUCGAGCCCAACUGAGGUAACAACCUGAUUUCCUGGUUGAUUAACCAGCACUGGUUAGUUCUUGGAAAGGAGACAUGAGAUUUGUUGGAAUAAGCUUGAAGCUGCAUACACAAUAGACCAUAAAUUAAUGUUUUAACUUUGAAAAGAUAUAUCUUUGUGAGUAGUGCUAGUUCAAAUGAAGUGGAGAUCUGGAGAUAGCAAUGUAUGCUAUUUUAAAUUUUGUUUUAUCAAUGUUUUUUCUUUUCUAUUUUUUUCUUUAACCUUUUUUUUCUUUCAUAACUUUGUGCCUGUCCGGAGAAAAACAGUAUGUGUUGUAUACUGGUUAUAUACUUUUGUAAUUUCUUACAUGAUAAAGUCAUUUUUUUUUAAAUUUUUAAUUAAAAAAUGUCUUUAGAAGGUUCAAGGCAACAAUGUCAUAACUUAUUCUUUAAUUUUCGUUAAGUUAUGACAUUUAUUCUUUUGAAGUGCUUCUCUUGAACUGCUAUAUACUUCCUUUCUGAAUAUCAGCUGCCCUUUUUGUCAUAAACGGUAGUGGAGAAAUGUAUAAUUUCUUCAAUGUUAAAAGCCAUAGUUGGAGACCUGUGUCACCUGACCCUUAACAACUUCUUUAUUCAUAAAUAUAAACUUGAUCAUCGUAUAUCUAGAUGGUAUAAAGAGGUGACAUGUUGAUCAAGGGGACUGACUGCCUGAGGUGUCAUACCAUGUAGCAUGGUUGACAACCAUUUUGUCUUGUCACAAUAAUACAUAGACUAUUCCAUGGUUGCGUUUUCUUCAUGCUAAUUGGCUAUAUAUAUUUAAGUUAUUUUUAGCUCACCUGUCACAAAGUGACAGGGUGAGCUUUUGUGAUCGCUUUUCGUCCGGCGUCCGUCCGGCGUCCAUAAACUUUUACUUUAAAUGACAUCUCCUCAUAAACCACUAAGCCAAAUUCAUCCAAACUUCACAGGAAUGUUCCUUUGGUGGUCACCUUUAAAAAUUAUUCAAAGAAUUUAAUUCCAUGCAGAACUCUGGUUGCCAUGGCAACCAAAAGAAAAAAACUUUAAAUAUCUUCU
This is a long non-coding RNA of Ruditapes philippinarum (Manila clam), 2324 nucleotides long. RefSeq lists it as uncharacterized. NCBI's taxonomy places the organism in Eukaryota, Metazoa, Mollusca, Bivalvia, Venerida, Veneridae. The record is from RefSeq and is a predicted model, not a curated record. The transcript has 5 exons.